RNAcentral lists this ribosomal RNA (295 nucleotides) under Candidatus Liberibacter asiaticus. Its description in RNAcentral is "partial 16S ribosomal RNA". It matches the Rfam family "Bacterial small subunit ribosomal RNA", at positions 620 to 916 of the family's 1533-position model. The record is from RNAcentral. Lineage: Bacteria; Pseudomonadati; Pseudomonadota; Alphaproteobacteria; Hyphomicrobiales; Rhizobiaceae.
ACUGCAUUUGAUACUGGCGGCUUGAGCUCAUGAAAGGUGAGUGGAAUUGCCGGUGUAGCGGUGAAAUGCGUAGAUAUUCGGAAGAACACCAGUGGCGAAGGCGGCUCACUGGGCCGGUACUGACGCUGAGGCACGAAAGCGUGGGGAGCAAACAGGAUUAGAUACCCUGGUAGUCCACGCCGUAAACGAUGAGUACUAGCUGUUGGGGGGCUUGCCCUUCUGUGGCGCAGCUAAAGAAUUAUACACCCCCCCCGGGGAGAACGGGCGCACGAGAAAAACUCAAAAAAAUUGACGG